UACGGAGGGGGCAAGCGUUGUUCGGAAUUAUUGGGCGUAAAGGGCUCGUAGGCGGUCUGUCACGUCAGGAGUGAAAACUCGGGGCUCAACCCCGAGCCUGCUUCUGAUACGGGCAGACUGGAGGUAUGCAGGGGAGAACGGAAUUCCUGGUGUAGCGGUGAAAUGCGCAGAUAUCAGGAGGAACACCGGUGGCGAAGGCGGUUCUCUGGGCAUUACCUGACGCUGAGGAGCGAAAGUGUGGGGAGCGAACAGG
Molecule: ribosomal RNA, 253 nt
Filed under: uncultured bacterium
Lineage: Bacteria
Description: partial 16S ribosomal RNA
Rfam family: Bacterial small subunit ribosomal RNA
Source: RNAcentral